Molecule: non-coding RNA, 1398 nt
Organism: Vicugna pacos (alpaca)
Lineage: Eukaryota; Metazoa; Chordata; Mammalia; Artiodactyla; Camelidae
Source: RefSeq, a predicted model, not a curated record
CGACACCUGCUUGCUCCUUCCUUACCUCGCAGCUUCCCACACCUGCUGGUCUGCCCUCCACCCCGCUGCCGCCAAGGGAACAGUCAAGGCUUCGGGCCAAAUUCGAGCUCACUGCGUACGCUGUGCGGGAAAACCUGGGGGGUGUGCCAAGGCAAAGCCUGGCAUUUCAGCCUGUAGGUGGGCAUCAUAUGUGGAGGAGAGAAAGCUGGUGCUCAGAGACCUGAGUGUCGGGGUCGACGUCUGCCGGCUUCCAAAGCUUUGCCUCUUGCCAUCACUUUCCGUGCACACCAAGGACACGUUCCCAUCCCUGACACCUUACUAUGAGGGUUUUGUUUAGCAAACACCAGAGCAGAUCAUGAAACCAGGUGUGGCAACCUGCUUGAGAAAAGGAGCCAGACAGCUCACUGUAGCUGCGCUGACCUGGAACAGAAAUGAGUAAGACAACUUUUAAAGAAAAUGCACAAGACUGCUAUUAGCUUUUCAAGGACUUUUGAAUGACAGGGUCAGGGGAGGUGGAAGGUGGAGACAGCUAAUAGAGAGGAAAGUGAAAUGAUUUAUACACAAUUUGCUAAUUUAGUCAGGAGGUAAGAAUGAUAAUUAGGUCAUUCUUCCCACACAAAGAUGACACAAUUGACCUAGGAUUAGUGAGGCAAGCAGUCUGGGCUGUUUUUCCAGUAGUGUGAUAGUGGCUGUGUCAUGGACGUGACCUCACCCACUUUUCUCUGGGAGCAAGGAGUGUGGGAAUGGCGGCCACACUUGAGGUACAAAUCUCAGUUCUGUCAGAUGCUGUUCCCGCUGCCGUGUAAGCCUAUCUCAUCACAGUGGAGAUGGAGAACAUGGCAUCAAAGUUGUUUAAUCUACUCAAAGGUCAUUCCUUGGAGAAUGUACAAGAAUCAUAUUUAAUUUUGUCAUGAAGAGUUAUAGACAAAAAUGUGAGUUUUGUUUCAUGAGCUAUUAUGUAAUGGGUACAAAGUUUUAGUUCGAGGUGAUGACAAAAUUCUGGAAUUGGACAGUGGCGAUGUUCACAAAACAAUGUAAAUGUAUUUGACACCACUAUAUACUUUAAAAUGGGUCUUUUAAAACCCCUCCCUCUUUUUCCUCCUUGCUACCCUACCUGAUCAGACAACCAUUGAUACUUUUCCUGUCUCUACGUAUCAGUUUGUGUUUCCUAGAAUUUUAGAUAAAUGGAACCAUACAGCGUGUCCAUUUUAAAUGGCUUCUUCCACUCAGCAAAAUUAUUGUGAGAUUCAUUAAUGUUGUAGCAUGUAUCAGUAGUUCAUUCCUUUUUAUUAUAUUCCACAUGUAAAGAUAUAUCAGUAUGUAUAUCCAUUCCCUUGUUGAUGAACAUUUGUGUUGUUUUUAGUUUUGGGCUGUUGCAAAUAAAGCUGUAUGAACAUU